GUCUACGGCCAUACCACCCUGGACGCGCCCGAUCUCGUCUGAUCUCGGAAGCUAAGCAGGGUCGGGCCUGGUUAGUACUUGGAUGGGAUAUCAUUCUCCAUCUGAGAUGCUUUCUGGGGAGCCCCCGCUGUUCUCA
RNAcentral lists this ribosomal RNA (136 nucleotides) under Octodon degus (degu). The record is from RNAcentral. Lineage: Eukaryota; Metazoa; Chordata; Mammalia; Rodentia; Octodontidae.